UUACUUUUUCCUCUCAUAUCUCAACAAAUUAUUAUAUUCUGGUAGCCUAUCUCUUCAUUUUUUUCUAACAAAUUGAUCAUUUUGUCAUUUGUAGGUUGAUUUGUACAUUAAAAUUCUUCUUUGAUUAAAUUAAUAUGACAAUUUUUUUUUUUCUUAUUUAAAUUAAUUGAUUAAUUCAAGUAAGAAAAUAUGAAAAAAAUGUUGAACAAUUAAUAAUACUAUUAAAAUAAACUAAACU
Molecule: long non-coding RNA, 238 nt
Filed under: Carica papaya (papaya)
Lineage: Eukaryota; Viridiplantae; Streptophyta; Magnoliopsida; Brassicales; Caricaceae
Description: long non-coding RNA (CPAP_LNC014621)
Source: RNAcentral